GGGGGAUUAGCUCAGUUGGUAGAGCACCGGCUUUGCAAGCCGGGUGUCAGGGGUUCGAGUCCCCUAUCCUCCA
RNAcentral lists this transfer RNA (73 nucleotides) under Nannocystaceae bacterium. RNAcentral's name for it is "tRNA-Ala". It matches the Rfam family "tRNA". Rfam says of the family: Transfer RNA (tRNA) molecules are approximately 80 nucleotides in length. Their secondary structure includes four short double-helical elements and three loops (D, anti-codon, and T loops). Lineage: Bacteria; Pseudomonadati; Myxococcota; Nannocystales; Nannocystaceae. The record is from RNAcentral.